UAACACGAACCGUGCGAACGUUAUUCGGAAUCAAUGGGCUUAAAGGGUGCGUAGGCGGCUUUGCAAGUGAGGUGUGAAAUCCCUCAGCUCAACUGAGGAACUGCGCUUCAAACUGCAUAGCUAGAGGGAGACAGAGGUAAGCGGAACUGAUGGUGGAGCGGUGAAAUGCGUUGAUAUCAUCAGGAACACCAGUGGCAAAGGCGGCUUACUGGGUCUCUUCUGACGCUGAGGCACGAAAGCUAGGGUAGCGAACGGGAUUAGAUACCCCGGUAGUCCUAGCUGUAAACGAUGAGUACUGGAUCGAGGAACCUUCCACAGUUUCUCGGUCGUAGCGAAAGUGUUAAGUACUCCGCCUGGGGAGUAUGGUCGCAAGGCUG
This 377-nucleotide ribosomal RNA is filed under the name uncultured Planctomycetota bacterium. RNAcentral describes it as "bacterial SSU rRNA". It matches the Rfam family "Bacterial small subunit ribosomal RNA", at positions 521 to 896 of the family's 1533-position model. The record is from RNAcentral. Lineage: Bacteria; Pseudomonadati; Planctomycetota.